GGGGGCAUAGCUCAGUUGGGAGAGCAGCAGACUGAAGUUUCACUGAUCGUUCGGUUUCUGAAGGUCCCGCGUUCAAUCCGCGGUGCCCCCA
Molecule: transfer RNA, 91 nt
Filed under: Termitomyces sp. T159_Od127
Lineage: Eukaryota; Fungi; Basidiomycota; Agaricomycetes; Agaricales; Lyophyllaceae
Description: tRNA-Phe
Rfam family: tRNA
About the family: Transfer RNA (tRNA) molecules are approximately 80 nucleotides in length.
Source: RNAcentral